RNAcentral lists this ribosomal RNA (584 nucleotides) under Salmonella enterica subsp. enterica. RNAcentral's name for it is "partial 23S ribosomal RNA". It matches the Rfam family "Bacterial large subunit ribosomal RNA", at positions 911 to 1495 of the family's 2925-position model. The record is from RNAcentral. Lineage: Bacteria; Pseudomonadati; Pseudomonadota; Gammaproteobacteria; Enterobacterales; Enterobacteriaceae.
UGUUUCGGCUAGGGGGCCAUCCCGGCUUACCAACCCGAUGCAAACUGCGAAUACCGGAGAAUGUUAUCACGGGAGACACACGGCGGGUGCUAACGUCCGUCGUGAAGAGGGAAACAACCCAGACCGCCAGCUAAGGUCCCAAAGUCAUGGUUAAGUGGGAAACGAUGUGGGAAGGCCCAGACAGCCAGGAUGUUGGCUUAGAAGCAGCCAUCAUUUAAAGAAAGCGUAAUAGCUCACUGGUCGAGUCGGCCUGCGCGGAAGAUGUAACGGGGCUAAACCAUGCACCGAAGCUGCGGCAGCGACGCUUAUGCGUUCGUUGGGUAGGGGAGCGUUCUGUAAGCCUGUGAAGGUGGCCUGUGAGGGUUGCUGGAGGUAUCAGAAGUGCGAAUGCUGACAUAAGUAACGAUAAAGCGGGUGAAAAGCCCGCUCGCCGGAAGACCAAGGGUUCCUGUCCAACGUUAAUCGGGGCAGGGUGAGUCGACCCCUAAGGCGAGGCCGAAAGGCGUAGUCGAUGGGAAACGGGUUAAUAUUCCCGUACUUGGUGUUACUGCGAAGGGGGGACGGAGAAGGCUAUGUUGGCCGGG